ACUCUCUCUCUCCAUCCAUCAGCAAAAGGGUCUGCCUCCAAACCUCGCUCGGUCUCUUCAUCCAUCGGCAAAAGGGUCUGCCUCCAAACCAAACAAAGUAGGUGAUCCUCUAGAGAAGGCUGCACUUAAGGGAAUUGAUUGGAGUUAUAAGUCAGAUGAAAAGGUCAUGCCAAAAAGGGGAAGUGGCAAUGCUGUUCAGAUUGUUCAGAGACACCACUUUGCAUCCCACUUGAAGAGAAUGGCAGUUGUUGUUCGCAUUCAGGAGGAAUUUUUUGCUUUUGUGAAGGUCUAUUUUAUUCGUGAACCCUGCAAUUUGUAUGCAUGCAUAUAUGGAUUAGGAAUGCUAUUUUACUUGAUGCUUGCAUAAUCAGGUAGCUUAUAAGAAAGAAGUUAUUGUGUAUUUUAUGGUAAAAUUUUAUAGGUAGAUACGAAAAUGUAUUUGGGAAUAUGCCAUGAUAUAUAACAUCAAGAUUUUUCUUUAGAAAAAGAAGUUCCCAACCUAUUUUGUAUUCUAGAGUUGAUUGAAUUGAGUUUUUGUGCACACACUAAGAUAAUCAAAUUGAAUAUAUGUUUUUGUGUGGAAACUGAGCUAUUGGUCAAUUUGAAUUGUUUUUGUGUGGAAACUGAGCUAUGGGUUUGAAUUUGUUUAGUGGAAACUGAUUGAGGUGGAGUUAUCAGCUUGCUUCCUUUGUUUU
Long non-coding RNA from Quercus lobata, 695 nucleotides. RefSeq lists it as uncharacterized. The record is from RefSeq and is a predicted model, not a curated record. The transcript has 3 exons. NCBI's taxonomy places the organism in Eukaryota, Viridiplantae, Streptophyta, Magnoliopsida, Fagales, Fagaceae.